GGCGACCAGCACGCUCUUGCGCGCCUUCGCAAUGGCAUGCAGGUAGGCCCGGUGAAUGCUGCGCCGAGAGGACAGCACGGCGAGACUGGUUGACCCUCGCGCCCAUGCGAGGGAGCGCUUGCGGCGCCCCAUCCACUGGCGGAAGCGGUCUUGGAAGGCCAUGCGCCACGUCGCGGCGAAGCGCCGCUCGAGCUCGUGAACCGCCG
RNAcentral lists this unclassified non-coding RNA (206 nucleotides) under plant metagenome. Its description in RNAcentral is "partial contains 5.8S ribosomal RNA, internal transcribed spacer 2, and large subunit ribosomal RNA". The record is from RNAcentral.